This 468-nucleotide ribosomal RNA is filed under the name uncultured bacterium. RNAcentral's name for it is "partial 16S ribosomal RNA". It matches the Rfam family "Bacterial small subunit ribosomal RNA", at positions 28 to 507 of the family's 1533-position model. The record is from RNAcentral.
GAUGAACGCUGGCGGCGUGCUUAACACAUGCAAGUCGAACGGAAAGGCCCAAGCUUGCUUGGGUACUCGAGUGGCGAACGGGUGAGUAACACGUGGGUGAUCUGCCCUGCACUUCGGGAUAAGCCUGGGAAACUGGGUCUAAUACCGGAUAGGACGAUGGUUUGGAUGCCAUUGUGGAAAGUUUUUUCGGUGUGGGAUGAGCUCGCGGCCUAUCAGCUUGUUGGUGGGGGAAUGGCCUACCAAGGCGUCGACGGGUAGCCGGCCUGAGAGGGUGUACGGCCACAUUGGGACUGAGAUACGGCCCAGACUCCUACGGGAGGCAGCAGUGGGGAAUAUUGCACAAUGGGCGCAAGCCUGAUGCAGCGACGCCGCGUGGGGGAUGACGGCCUUCGGGUUGUAAACUCCUUUCGCUAGGGACGAAGCGUUUUUGUGACGGUACCUGGAGAAGAAGCACCGGCUAACUACGUG